GGGGUUGUGGCUCAGUGGUAGAGCACUCAUCUGGCACGUGUGAGGCACUGGUUUCUAUCCUCAGCACCA
RNAcentral lists this transfer RNA (69 nucleotides) under Ictidomys tridecemlineatus (thirteen-lined ground squirrel). RNAcentral describes it as "Spermophilus tridecemlineatus (thirteen-lined ground squirrel) tRNA". It matches the Rfam family "tRNA". From Rfam's summary of the family: Transfer RNA (tRNA) molecules are approximately 80 nucleotides in length. The record is from Rfam by way of RNAcentral. RNAcentral also lists the same sequence under 1 other name. Lineage: Eukaryota; Metazoa; Chordata; Mammalia; Rodentia; Sciuridae.